AACGAACGCUGGCGGCAUGCCUAACACAUGCAAGUCGAACGAGAUCUUCGGAUCUAGUGGCGCACGGGUGCGUAACGCGUGGGAAUCUGCCCUUGGGUUCGGAAUAACAGUGAGAAAUUACUGCUAAUACCGGAUGAUGUCUUCGGACCAAAGAUUUAUUGCCCAGGGAUGAGCCCGCGUAGGAUUAGCUAGUUGGUGGGGUAAUGGCCUACCAAGGCGACGAUCCUUAGCUGGUCUGAGAGGAUGAUCAGCCACACUGGGACUGAGACACGGCCCAGACUCCUACGGGAGGCAGCAGUGGGGAAGAUUGGACAAUGGGCGAAAGCCUGAUCCAGCAAUGCCGCGUGAGUGAUGAAGGCCUUAGGGUUGUAAAGCUCUUUUACCAGGGAUGAUAAUGACAGUACCUGGAGAAUAAGCUCCGGCUAACUCCGUGCCAGCAGCCGCCGCGG
RNAcentral lists this ribosomal RNA (449 nucleotides) under uncultured bacterium. RNAcentral's name for it is "partial 16S ribosomal RNA". It matches the Rfam family "Bacterial small subunit ribosomal RNA", at positions 29 to 523 of the family's 1533-position model. The record is from RNAcentral.